GAUGAACGCUGGCGGCGUGCCUAACACAUGCAAGUCGAGCGGAGGAACGCGGCUCUUGCUUGGCUGAUGUUAGGGGCGGGUGGGUGAGUCACACGUGUAUACCCCACCUUUGAGGCUGAGAUAGCGUCGGGGGAGCGUAUCUAGCACAGGAUAAUAUUGUGAACGGCAUGGAUCUUGAGUCAACGCGGUUCUUGCUGAGACUUGUUCACGGAUCCGCGCUGCAUUAGCUAGGUGGUAAGGUAACGACAUACCAUGGCAACUAUGCGUAGACGAGCUGAGAGGGUGAUCGGCCACACGGGAACUGAGACACGGUCCAGACUCCUACGGGAGGCAGCAGUGGGGAAUCUUCCGCAAUGGGCGAAAGCCUGAUAGAGCAAUGCCGCGUGAGUGAUGAAGGUCUUCGGAUCGUAAAGCUCUGUAAUUAGGGAGGAACAUAUGUAGAAGUAACAGUGCAUAUCUUGACGGUACCUAAACAAAAAGCCCCGGCUAACUACGUG
RNAcentral lists this ribosomal RNA (497 nucleotides) under uncultured bacterium. RNAcentral describes it as "partial 16S ribosomal RNA". It matches the Rfam family "Bacterial small subunit ribosomal RNA", at positions 28 to 507 of the family's 1533-position model. The record is from RNAcentral.